CGAAGGGGCGUAGCGUUGUUCGGAUUUACUGGGGCGUAAAGACGCGCGUAGGCGGAUAAAUUAAGUUAGAGGUGAAAUACCCAGGGCUCAACCCUCGGAACUGCCUUUAAUACUGUUUAUCUAGAGUAUGAAGAGGUGAGUGGAAUUCCGAGUGUAGAGGUGAAAUUACGUAGAUAUUCGGAGGAACAUCAGUGGCGAAGGCGGCUCACUGGUUCAUUACUGACGCUGAGGUGCGAAAGCGUGGGGAGCAAACAGGAUU
RNAcentral lists this ribosomal RNA (259 nucleotides) under uncultured bacterium. RNAcentral describes it as "partial 16S ribosomal RNA". It matches the Rfam family "Bacterial small subunit ribosomal RNA", at positions 526 to 779 of the family's 1533-position model. The record is from RNAcentral.